GCCUCCUGUCCAGCUCACUUGAGUGGAGACACUCAACACAGCAGGAUGUUCUUAUGCUGUUCCCCAACUUUCUGAAUCUUUGGCUCCUAGAAAGCUGAGAAUGAGAGCCUCUUCAGUUGCUGUAGACAAUGGCUCAGCUCUCACAUCCAAUGUCUCUGGCCAUGUGGCAGGAGGAACCCUCAGAGCUGCCCCCAGAAAUGGUCGAGGAACUGGUGGAUGGUUUCAACUACACCACCUCCCUGGACAGGAGGCAGGUGCACCAGGCCACCAACAAUGACCAAGUGUGAAGAUGACCCCACUGUGAAUUUAAAUGAGACCUGCAGGAUGCGUGCCCUCCAGGCAGGCCCAAUGGAAACUCCGACAGAGUCCAUGGCACCAGCCUUAAUGGGUAGAAACAUCUCAAAUGUCACCACCUUUGUGUUCAACUACUCAGCCUUCAAUAUAUCCCACCUGGUCUUGGACCAGCUGUUCCCUAGCACCAUCUCUACUCUGAUGGGAACCUGCCUGCAGGUUUUCCUGCCAUGCAGGAUUUCUGGAAGCCUCUGCACUUCAGGAUGAAGCUGGCCCAUGUACAUGUGAGCUCGCCUGCCUCAGAGCUGGAGGGCCACGCCUCCCUCCUCCAAGUCCAGCUGGAGGCUCCAGAGCCCGUGGAGGCAGAGCUGAAAGGACCAUCUCCAGAGCUCCCACCAGCUCCAGAGCCAGAGCAGGGGCCAGCUCCAUGGCCCAGGCCAGCUCCAGCUCUAGUUCUACUACCUGUGCUAGAGCUGGAGCAAGUGUCACCUCCAUCAGCCCCUCCAGGGCCAGAGCCAUGCCAACAACAGCUCCAGCCCCAGGGCCAGAUCCAGCUGGAGCCCGCUGGACCCUUGUCUCCAGGGAGAAUUCUACCUCCAUGUGGAGAGAGAACAUCAGAGCCGGAUCCAGCCCCAGAGCCCACCUCCCCCCGGGCUGUGACCACCAAGAGCCUGCUGUGGGAGGAGAAGCCUGACUUCCUGGGGUUCCCUCCCCAGCUGAUUGCAGAGCAAUUUACACUGAUGGAUGCGGGGCUGUUCAAGCAAGUGAUGCCCCACCACUGCCUGGACCCCAUCUGAUCCCCAUGGGACAACAUGGGCAAUGAGCACCUGGCACCCACCAUCUGUGCCACCGUCACCCAGUUUAUCACAGUGGUCAACUGUGUUGUCACCACCUGCCUGGGAGACCUGAGCAUGACAGCCCAGGACAGGGCCAGGGUGGUGGAGCUCUGGAUCCAGGUGUCCAAGGCGUGCCAAGGCCUGAGGAAGUUUCCUUCACUCCACGCCAUCCUCUCUGCUCUGCAGAGCUGCACAAUCCAUCGGCUCAAAAAGACAUGGGGACACGUUUCCAGGAAGAGCUCUCAAAAAUUUAAAAAACCGCUCAGAGUGUGAGCAGGAAGCUGCUCAUGGAGGAAGCAACCUCUUUGUUGGAGAUCCUGGAGAUGGGCCCCUGGGGAGCCCAGGUGAGGCAGCAGCAGCAGGUGAGGGUGCCUGCAGGUGAGUGGUCCAUGUGUCCGAGGAGAGGGGGCUCCACCCUCACAGCUGGAGGUCUCCACCCAGAGGGGGCUCCCACCUCCUCCAGCCCAGCUCCUGGCCCCAAGAGCCUGAACUGCCUGCAUUGGAAGUGAGCAGGAGGAGGCCUGGCAGUGCUGGGCCCAGGAGGGACUUGGGGUGGGGAGGGGCAGGGACCAUGUUCCCUGGGAUUUGCCAAAAGCCAACCCUGGGAGGUGAUGGGGGAGACUGGUAUUCCUGGAGGGGUCUCCUGGGGGAGACUGCUGAGGGUUCUGGCUGCUCUAUGUGGGAGUCUGGGGUAGGCAGGAGGCUGGAGUGAGGGUUUUCGGGGGAGGGUCCAUGGGGACACUUGAGUGCCAGGAUUCAUCACCACGCCCACCCUGAUGGCACAGUGUGUCAUCCCCUUCCUGCACUCACUCCUCCAUUACCUGCAGCUGCUGGACACUGAGAUGGAGGAUUGUCUGCAGGUGAGUGAGGCUGGAGGCGGGGCCAGGUGAGAGCCCCACACUAGGUCCUGAGCUCUCAGCUCUUGGCAAACCUCCUCUCCUGAGAGCCUCCUGGCCGCCCCUGGAGCUGGGGCCUCAGGCCCAUCUUAGUGAUGUGGGAACCAAAGCUCCGCAUAAGCCCCCCUCCAGGCUCCCUGGGCUGGGGGAGCUCAGAGCUGCCUGACUGCAGAGCCACAGGAGGUGGUGUCAGAGCUGGACUCAGCCUCUCCCUCAGGCCCCACCCCUGGGGGAGUGAAGACAGCCCCUGCAAGUCAGGAAGCACAUCCGUGGUCCAGCUGUCCCUCCCUGCACGAGGCCUCAGUCUCCCUGUCUGUCAUCAGAGAGGGUUGGGCUACAGUCUCUGGCCUCAGUGCCCCUGUCCCCCCUGCGCUGGAGCCCAGAGCCUGGCCCAGGUUCAGGCUCUCCUUGUGGCAGUGUCUGCCCUCUGCCAGGCCCUGGCAGUCCUGCAACCUGGGAAGGGGUGGGCUGGGGGCUAGUCAUGGGCCAAGGGGGCUGUUUCUGAUGGACAUUGGCUGUCUGCCUUCGAGGGAAAUAUGGUGAACUUCCAGAAAUGGAGUGAGGUGAGCAGUCGUGCCCUCGAUGCGGGGAGGGUGGGGCUGUGGAAAUCAGAGACCUCCCCUGGCAAAACUUUCUCUGGCCUCAUCCUUUAUGUGUUAGAGAGUUAGAUACAGGCAGCUGGGAAUCCCAUCACAUUGGUGGGUGGGAGGAGGGGCUGACAUCAAGGACACCUUCCUGGAUGAGGAACUAGUUCAACCCAACUGUGAGAAAAGGCAAGUCCUGAAUGGAGUGGGAGGGAAGGAGGGUUCCCAGUGAGCAAAGACCCCAGAGCCGCUCCUCACUACCCACAAGUUCCUGGCUGGGUUCCCCACCCAGGGCCUGUCUGCAUCCUGUCCUUCCUCCCAGAAAUUCAAGGUCAUUAAAAGGAUCCAGCUGCUCCAAGAGGCUGCCAAUGAACGCCACCUGAAGCCUGAGGAGUAAUUUGGGGCCUGGUUCCAGGCCAUGGAGCCCCUCCGUGAGGAUGAGAGCUACAGCCUGUCCUGCCAGCUGGAGCCCCCAGACCUGAAGGUGAGCAAAAUGUGAGGCUUCUUCAGGACCAAGAAGAACCGGCCAUCCUCAAGAUUGGGGCUGACUGCCAUGCCCUUGGCAAGGGGCCGUCACACUCAGGAGACCACCACCAGUUCAGCCGCUUCUCCAGCAGCAGGGACACAGCUGGGAAGCUUGGAGUACACUGGGCCAGCUUGUAGUGAAUUGAUACUGCUCUGAGCUCACCCUGAGAACCCACCCGAUGACCAGGAGCUAAAAUGUUACCACCCAGCUUUUUGAACAUCAUGCCCUGGAAACACCCUGCAAGACAAGGGUCACGUGAAUGCCUUGAGUAAUUACUAUGUGUUCGAUGCUGCGAGCAAGGUGAAUGCAUUUCCACAUCUCCAGAUCUAGUGCGGGAAUGAAGGCACUAAGCUGGCUGCCAAGAUUCUCUAAGUGGCAAAUAAUGCCCCACGGAGUAUGGUCAUUGCUAAGAUUCCAAAAUCAAAGCUAGACAAGUUUGCCAGGGAAGAAAUCAGAGACAUGGAUCAGUGUGUCAGGUGUCCGGACCAUCAGUAUGCCAACAGAGAGCGAGACCACUGCCUUCAAAACGUUGUGACCUUUCUGGCUUAUGAAGACCCCUUGGGGACGGCCCUGGCCUGCACAGCUCUCUCUUUCUCUGGCCUCACAGCUGUGGUCCUGGGGAUCUUUGUGAAGCACCGAGACACUCCCACAGUCAAGGCCAAUAAUCGGACUCUCAGCUACAUCCUGCUCACCUCCCUCACCCUGUGCUUCCUCUGCUCCUUACUCUUCAUCAGUCAUCCCAACACAGCCACCUGCAUUCUUCAACAAAUCGCAUUUGGAGUUGUUUUUACUGUGGCUGUUUCUGCUGUCUUGGCCAAAACUCUCACUGUGCUUGUGGCCUUCAAGGUGACAAAUAAAAAUGGCAAGUAAUAGGA
Equus caballus (horse) is the source of this 4008-nucleotide non-coding RNA. NCBI's taxonomy places the organism in Eukaryota, Metazoa, Chordata, Mammalia, Perissodactyla, Equidae. The record is from RefSeq and is a predicted model, not a curated record.